RNAcentral lists this ribosomal RNA (428 nucleotides) under Salmonella enterica subsp. enterica serovar Newport str. L0167. Its description in RNAcentral is "bacterial SSU rRNA". It matches the Rfam family "Bacterial small subunit ribosomal RNA", at positions 1115 to 1533 of the family's 1533-position model. The record is from RNAcentral. Lineage: Bacteria; Pseudomonadati; Pseudomonadota; Gammaproteobacteria; Enterobacterales; Enterobacteriaceae.
UUGCCAGCGAUUAGGUCGGGAACUCAAAGGAGACUGCCAGUGAUAAACUGGAGGAAGGUGGGGAUGACGUCAAGUCAUCAUGGCCCUUACGACCAGGGCUACACACGUGCUACAAUGGCGCAUACAAAGAGAAGCGACCUCGCGAGAGCAAGCGGACCUCAUAAAGUGCGUCGUAGUCCGGAUUGGAGUCUGCAACUCGACUCCAUGAAGUCGGAAUCGCUAGUAAUCGUGGAUCAGAAUGCCACGGUGAAUACGUUCCCGGGCCUUGUACACACCGCCCGUCACACCAUGGGAGUGGGUUGCAAAAGAAGUAGGUAGCUUAACCUUCGGGAGGGCGCUUACCACUUUGUGAUUCAUGACUGGGGUGAAGUCGUAACAAGGUAACCGUAGGGGAACCUGCGGUUGGAUCACCUCCUUACCUGAAAGAA